GACGAACGCUGGCGGCGUGCUUAACACAUGCAAGUCGAACGGAAAGGCCCUGCUUUUGUGGGGUGCUCGAGUGGCGAACGGGUGAGUAACACGUGAGUAACCUGCCCUUGACUUUGGGAUAACUUCAGUAAACUGGGGCUAAUACCGGAUAUGAGCUCCUUCUGCAUGGUGGGGGUUGGAAAGUUUCGGCGGUUGGGGACGGACGCGCGGCUUAUCAGCUUGUUGGUGGGGUAGUGGCUUACCAAGGCAUUGACGGGUAGCCGGACUGAGAGGGUGACCGGCCACAUUGGGACUCAGAUACGGCCAGGACUCCUACGGGAGGAAGCAGUGGGGGAUAGUGCACGAUGGGCGGCAGCCUGAUGCAGCAACGCCGCGUGCGGGAUGACGGCCUUCGGGUUGUAACCCGCUUUCGCCUGUGACGAAGCGUGAGUGACGGUAAUGGGUAAAGAAGCACCGGCUAACUACGUG
RNAcentral lists this ribosomal RNA (468 nucleotides) under uncultured bacterium. Its description in RNAcentral is "partial 16S ribosomal RNA". It matches the Rfam family "Bacterial small subunit ribosomal RNA", at positions 28 to 507 of the family's 1533-position model. The record is from RNAcentral.